This 114-nucleotide ribosomal RNA is filed under the name Alkalibacterium gilvum. RNAcentral's name for it is "16S rRNA. Bacterial SSU". It matches the Rfam family "Bacterial small subunit ribosomal RNA", at positions 1 to 107 of the family's 1533-position model. Lineage: Bacteria; Bacillati; Bacillota; Bacilli; Lactobacillales; Carnobacteriaceae. The record is from RNAcentral.
AUCAAAUUGAGAGUUUGAUCCUGGCUCAGGACGAACGCUGGCGGCAUGCCUAAUACAUGCAAGUCGAACGAUGAUGCACUCUGCUUGCAGAGUGUUGAAGAGUGGCGAACGGGU